AUUGAACGCUGGCGGCAUGCCUUACACAUGCAAGUCGAACGGUAACAGGCCGCAAGGUGCUGACGAGUGGCGAACGGGUGAGUAAUACAUCGGAACGUGCCCGAUCGUGGGGGAUAACGCAGCGAAAGCUGUGCUAAUACCGCAUACGAUCUACGGAUGAAAGCGGGGGAUCGCAAGACCUCGCGCGGACGGAGCGGCCGAUGGCAGAUUAGGUAGUUGGUGGGGUAAAGGCCUACCAAGCCGACGAUCUGUAGCUGGUCUGAGAGGACGACCAGCCACACUGGGACUGAGACACGGCCCAGACUCCUACGGGAGGCAGCAGUGGGGAAUUUUGGACAAUGGGCGCAAGCCUGAUCCAGCCAUGCCGCGUGCAGGAUGAAGGCCUUCGGGUUGUAAACUGCUUUUGUACGGAACGAAAAGGUUUCUUUUAAUACAGGGAACUGAUGACGGUACCGUAAGAAUAAGCACCGGCUAACUACGUGCCAGCAGCCGCAGUAA
RNAcentral lists this ribosomal RNA (498 nucleotides) under uncultured bacterium. RNAcentral describes it as "partial 16S ribosomal RNA". It matches the Rfam family "Bacterial small subunit ribosomal RNA", at positions 30 to 523 of the family's 1533-position model. The record is from RNAcentral.